Molecule: unclassified non-coding RNA, 345 nt
Filed under: soil metagenome
Description: partial contains 5.8S ribosomal RNA, internal transcribed spacer 2, and large subunit ribosomal RNA
Rfam family: 5.8S ribosomal RNA (bases 1-121)
Source: RNAcentral
GAUGAAGAACGCAGCGAAAUGCGAUAAGUAAUGCGAAUUGCAGAAUUUCCGUGAGUCAUCGAAUCUUUGAACGCACAUUGCGCCCACUGGUAUUCCGGUGGGCAUGCCUGUUCGAGCGUCAUUAUCCUCCCUCAAACCCCGGGUUUGGUAUUGGACCCAAGUUGUGUGAACAACUGGUCUCAAAGACAAUGACGGCGUCCGUGGGACCCUCGGUGCAACGAGCUUUUAGGAGCACGCAUCGAGUUGCAAGGACCUUCCGGGCCGGUCUCCUUUACCAUUUUACAAGGUUGACCUCGGAUCAGGUAGGAAUACCCGCUGAACUUAAGCAUAUCAAUAAGCGGAGGA